RNAcentral lists this ribosomal RNA (221 nucleotides) under uncultured Staphylococcus sp. Its description in RNAcentral is "partial 16S ribosomal RNA". It matches the Rfam family "Bacterial small subunit ribosomal RNA", at positions 134 to 355 of the family's 1533-position model. Lineage: Bacteria; Bacillati; Bacillota; Bacilli; Caryophanales; Staphylococcaceae. The record is from RNAcentral.
AACUUACGGUAACCGGGAACGGCUAAUACCGGAUAAUAUAUUGAACCGCAUGGUUCAAUAGUGAAAGACGGUUUUGCUGUCACUUAUAGAUGGAUCCGCGCCGCAUUAGCUAGUUGGUAAGGUAACGGCUUACCAAGGCAACGAUGCGUAGCCGACCUGAGAGGGUGAUCGGCCACACUGGAACUGAGACACGGUCCAGACUCCUACGGGAGGCAGCAGCC